RNAcentral lists this ribosomal RNA (496 nucleotides) under uncultured bacterium. Its description in RNAcentral is "partial 16S ribosomal RNA". It matches the Rfam family "Bacterial small subunit ribosomal RNA", at positions 28 to 507 of the family's 1533-position model. The record is from RNAcentral.
GAUGAACGCUGGCGGCGUGCCUAAUACAUGCAAGUCGAGCGAACGGACGAGAAGCUUGCUUCUCUGAUGUUAGCGGCGGACGGGUGAGUAACACGUGGAUAACCUACCUAUAAGACUGGGAUAACUUCGGGAAACCGGAGCUAAUACCGGAUAAUAUUUUGAACCGCAUGGUUCAAAAGUGAAAGACUGUCUUGCUGUCACUUAUAGAUGGAUCCGCGCUGCAUUAGCUAGUUGGUAAGGUAACGGCUUACCAAGGCAACGAUGCAUAGCCGACCUGAGAGGGGAACCGCCACACUGGAACUGAGACACGGUCCAGACUCCUACGGGAGGCAGCAGUAGGGAAUCUUCCGCAAUGGGCGAAAGCCUGACGGAGCAACGCCGCGUGAGUGAUGAAGGUCUUCGGAUCGUAAAACUCUGUUAUUAGGGAAGAACAUAUGUGUAAGUAACUGUGCACAUCUUGACGGUACCUAAUCAGAAAGCCACGGCUAACUACGUG